AUGUUGGUGUUCCCCUCGUCCAUGGCGGCCAGCACUUGCCGCGUCGCCGCAGAAGCCUUGGAAGUAGCCGUCGUCCUGCUCGAGAGGGCGUCGAACCCCGCGACGGAUUUUGUGUGGUUCGCCGGAGCAAGCCACACCGGCGCGGUGGAUGUUACCGACCCCCAAACAAGUGAGGAACAAAAUUUUUCGGAAGAUUUGGUGGCUCUGAUUACCAGUUGUAACACCCCAGGAAGAGAGGGAGAGGGAGAGGAUCCAGAUCGCGCUGGGGGACGAGAGGUUGGCUUGGAGAGGAAGGAGGAGGAGAUGGAUUGCAGAGGGAAGAUUAAGAUUCAGAGUACAAUGCACGCAUACUCACACCCGGCCACAGGCGGCCAAUUUAACCCCACACACGCACGCCACUUGUCUGGCCAGCUGGCUGGGCCCACCAGCCAGCUCUUAGGCGCACUAACCACUGGUUAG
This 459-nucleotide ribosomal RNA is filed under the name Triticum aestivum (bread wheat). RNAcentral describes it as "partial small subunit ribosomal RNA". Lineage: Eukaryota; Viridiplantae; Streptophyta; Magnoliopsida; Poales; Poaceae. The record is from RNAcentral.